UUUCCGUAGGUGAACCUGCGGAAGGAUCAUUAUUGUAUAACCGAGGUGCGAGGGCUGUCGCUGACCCCAGAGGUCGUGCACGCCCGAGUGCCCUCACACACAUCCAUCUCACCCCUAUGUGCACCACCGCGUGGGUCCCCCUUUGGCUUGUUCGGAGGGGGGCUUACGUUUUCACACAAACUUUGUAUGCAGUGUAGAAUGUAUUUUUUGUUUUUGCGAUCACGCAAUCAAUACAACUUUCAACAACGGAUCUCUUGGCUCUC
This 263-nucleotide unclassified non-coding RNA is filed under the name plant metagenome. RNAcentral describes it as "partial contains small subunit ribosomal RNA, internal transcribed spacer 1, and 5.8S ribosomal RNA". The record is from RNAcentral.